This 554-nucleotide long non-coding RNA is filed under the name Apteryx owenii (little spotted kiwi). Its description in RNAcentral is "lncRNA (ENSAOWG00000014982.1)". The record is from RNAcentral. Lineage: Eukaryota; Metazoa; Chordata; Aves; Apterygiformes; Apterygidae.
CAAUGAUCUGGCAAGAGUAGUGCCAUCUCCCACCAGAAUAAUUGAGAAGGUCAUGCCUUCCUUAUCCCCAGGCUGGGUUCACAACACAAGUCAGUCCUCCAGCAAGCAGUUUCCACUUUAAUACAGUUCAGAAGCCAGCCGUGAGAUGGACAGCAGUAGUGACUCCUCAGAUAACUUGGGCAAUGACCAAGAGUUUCAUGCAAGGCAGUUGUAUUACUCGGCCAACUCUGAUUUUUUUCAUCAAAUGCUGGCUUCCAGUGUAACCCAGACUGGUGUUCUUGAGGCCGGUAAAACCAGUGACACCUUGGAAACAUUCAGUCCUUGUCUGCUCCCUGCCUCAGAUUCUCAGAUGAGACCAGAAGCUACAACAUACAAAAGCAUAGACCAGAGCCCAGGGCAGCAGGACCAAGUGAUGAGGCAACAGAUGGAGCAGCUACAAAGGCUGGUGGCUGAACAGCAGAAAAUCAUUGCAUUUUGCAACCCAGGCUUUUCAGUUUCUCCUGGGAUACCUUCUCAUCUAGUUGCCAUGAUGACAACCCUGCCAUGUUUUCCUG